RNAcentral lists this ribosomal RNA (484 nucleotides) under uncultured bacterium. RNAcentral's name for it is "partial 16S ribosomal RNA". It matches the Rfam family "Bacterial small subunit ribosomal RNA", at positions 30 to 507 of the family's 1533-position model. The record is from RNAcentral.
AUUGAACGCUGGCGGCAGGCCUAACACAUGCAAGUCGAGCGGAUGAAGGGAGCUUGCUCCUGGAUUCAGCGGCGGACGGGUGAGUAAUGCCUAGGAAUCUGCCUGGUAGUUGGGGAUAACGUCCGGAAACGGGCGCUAAUACCGCAUACGUCCUGAGGGAGAAAGUGGGGGAUCUUCGGACCUCACGCUAUCAGAUGAGCCUAGGUCGGAUUAGCUAGUUGGUUGGGUAAAGGCCUACCAAGGCGACGAUCCGUAACUGGUCUGAGAGGAUGAUCAGUCACACUGGAACUGAGACACGGUCCAGACUCCUACGGGAGGCAGCAGUGGGGAAUAUUGGACAAUGGGCGAAAGCCUGAUCCAGCAAUGCCGCGUGUGUGAAGAAGGUCUUCGGAUUGUAAAGCACUUUAAGUUGGGAGGAAGGGCAGUAAGUUAAUACCUUGCUGUUUUGACGUUACCAAAAGAAUAAGCACCGGCUAACUUCGUG